Molecule: long non-coding RNA, 2197 nt
Organism: Esox lucius (northern pike)
Lineage: Eukaryota; Metazoa; Chordata; Actinopteri; Esociformes; Esocidae
Source: Ensembl
GUGAAACGGUACGUGUGUUUCUUGUGAAGGAAUUGGCGAGCCAGAACUAGAAGACGCCCCAGUAUUAUUUAGGUCUGCCAUCUGGGAAUAUUUCGUUUUUUCUGUAAACUAUAACACCAAUUGCCAAUGGAAGACGGAUAACCAUAUUCCCCGACUACACCACCAAUGGAAGACGGAUAACCAUAUUCCCCGACUACACCACCAAUGGAAGACGGAUAACCAUAUUCCCCGACUACACCACCAAUGGAAGACGGAUAACCAUAUUCCCUGACUACACCACCAAUGGAAGACGGAUAACCAUAUUCCCUGACUACACCACCAAUGGAAGACGGAUAACCAUAUUCCCCGACUACACCACCAAUGGAAGACAGAUAACCAUAUUCCCCGACUACACCACCAAUGGAAGACAGAUAACCAUAUUCCCCGACUACACCACCAAUGGAAGACGGAUAACCAUAUUCCCCGACUACACCACCAAUGGAAGACGGAUAACCAUAUUCCCCGACUACACCACCAAUGGAAGACGGAUAACCAUAUUCCCCGACUACACCACCAAUGCCGCCAAGGCCAAAGCUGCCUUCACAGAUGUGAGGAAGAUGCUGUGAGGAAGAUGCUACGAGGACGACGGGGGUUCGCUACGGUCUGCUCUUCCCUGCAAGAUUGCGGAUUUCAUACAAAAAUGAGGAGGAGGAAUUUCUGGAUCCCGUAAAGGAUUUGGAAUAUGUUCAGAAGAAGGUCAUACCUGAGACGGAAAAGUAGGCUAAUGGAAUAAACUCCCUCUACCCACACAAAUAAUAAUAAUAAGCACAUGCAAACAUAAACAGUAAAACACUUUGAAUGAUGACAUGUUGUUAUAUUUAACAUAACCAGCCACAACGAUUUCACGCCUGAAGGAACUUGGAUAUUAUUAUGGAUGUUAUUCGGGAUACAAAAUGAAUGUGGAGAAAACAGAAACAAGAAUCAGGCUUAAAACAUUGCAGCUACCAAAGCCGGUUGGAGGCUUAAACUUUCUAGCCUCAGAUAUUUCUUUUGGGCUGCACAGAUGAGGCCCUUGAUACUGUGGACUCAGAAUAGCAUGUACACACGCUUGCUCAAUAUUGAAAAAAGGUGUUAUGAGAAAUGUCUGUUGAGGAAGAGUGGAAGGGUAUUCGAUGAAGAGGUGUGUCUGGCCCCACCAAGUCUCCAACACACCCUUGGUGAUGUUGAUCAGGGGUCCUGGGAAACAUUUGCUUCUCCAAAGAUCUGGAACACCAGGUAUGGGCCAUCAGCCCAGCCUUCCUGAGCUCACCUGGAGAGGUGUGAAACUCUGAUCAAACUGGAGUGUAAAUAAAUGCAUGAUAUUGUGGACAUGUAUCUGUAGUGUUUAGAUUUUCCCUGUUCCCCAUAAAGGGCAGAAUAGACUGAUAUGCUUUAUUGUACUGUAUGGGUUAUGGGUCAAACUUCACAAGAACAUUGUAGAAUUGAUUGUCCUUGCUGCAUGUCAGACAACAACUGACGGCAACGCCCCGUUCAUUCAAUAGUUUUGCAUUGAUUAAGUGGGACAGUUCCUGUCCUUUGUCUUCGUUGUAUUUGCCAAGGUAAAGUAAUGCUAAUGACUAUUUGGGGGUGUGUUUUAGAUAUGUCUGAUUUUAGGAUAAAUAGCCAUGUCUCCCAAUUUUUUCUUGUUAAAGAGACCUCCCAACAUGUUGUGUUGUAGUCAUAUUCAGGAGUCUAUCUUCAACAGAAGCUCCUUGCAUACCUUUGUGCUAUAGUGUCUUUAAUCCCUAUGGUAUAAUUAGUACACUGUUAGGCUAGUUGGGAGGACAUUGAAUCGUGUUGGUAUGUAAUAAUGUUUUGUAUAGUAACUUUAUUACCUGAUUGGAAUAAAUUGUGCUACUUUGGAAUACAGAUUACUAGGGCAUUCCUCGUUCAUCUCCAUACUGAAGCUCGUAGGGCUACUGGUAAUUACACACACAUUAGUAAGUCUAAGAGACCAGACUUGGAGUCCCUGAGUCCUGGAAUUCUGAAAGCAGUUUGGUUAGACCCAGGAACACUUGACUUUUGAGUUAUUCCUGAGUCGUUGGGCAUAAUUAACUUUCUGUUAGACCCAGGAACACACACCAUUUUACUGUAUGGUUCAUGUUAAACCACCUACACAUUAUGGGUGAUUAUGAUAACUGAUAGAGGCACAUACACACACAUAAAUCAAAGUGACCAG